This 378-nucleotide long non-coding RNA is filed under the name Lathyrus oleraceus (garden pea). RNAcentral describes it as "Pisum sativum (pea) long non-coding RNA (PSAT_LNC024952)". Lineage: Eukaryota; Viridiplantae; Streptophyta; Magnoliopsida; Fabales; Fabaceae. The record is from RNAcentral.
UUAAUUACAAUUAAGUUUUUAUUUGUUUAAAAUUUUAUUGCAUUGUUACCACGUUUUUUUUAGUAUAUCUUCAUUUAUCCAUAUAAUAUUUUAUAAGAAAUGUAUAUUGUCAUCAUGUGUCUGUUGGAUACACCUAUUAUAUUUCUUAAAUUAGUUUAAUAGUCGAAAUUUCAUAAUUUUAAAGAUGAAUAAGUAAAAUAUUGCAGGUUCAAACUCAUAUUUAGUUUGUUAUUUUAUCUUUUCUCUGAUAUUCUCCUAUUUUUUUAGCUAAAUUUUGUCUGAGUUAUUAUAAGGGUUGAGUACCCUCUAAUUUUUCACUCAAUUAACCCACUUUUAAAAAAAAUAAACCAAAAUAACCCACUUUUUAGUUUAAUUCCC